Molecule: long non-coding RNA, 1513 nt
Filed under: Homo sapiens (human)
Lineage: Eukaryota; Metazoa; Chordata; Mammalia; Primates; Hominidae
Description: Pvt1 oncogene
Rfam family: Pvt1 oncogene conserved region 5 (bases 1274-1403)
Source: RNAcentral
UUUUUGCAUCGCAUGUGAGGGUUUGUUGGGUGCUCCUAAACCCUCAUCAUGGUCAUUCUUCUUGGCUGGGCUGUUGAUUUAAUUAGGUUUGCCUUCUCUUGCUAACGUGCUCUUAUUUAUGCCAGUGUUUGUGGUUCUGGGUGUAGACUUUCAGGAAGCACAGCCAUGAAGCUGCAUGCGUCUGUGUGUGGAUGCCUCAUGCCUUUUCCUGGUGGUUUGCAGGCAUGGAAGAUUCUUCUGUUCAUCUAAGCUCCUGACUUUAGGCCCUUCUAGAACAUUAGAGAGGAGAAGAAAUCACGUGCAAGGAUUUAGGGACAAGAGGAUGAGGUUUUGGUGUUUCCUUUCUGGUAUUAGGUUUUCCAGAGAGAGGCUGUUAGCCUGUCUCUCGCCCACUCCACCACUGUGAAUCCUGGCUACUGGGGCUAGUUCCUUGCUAGGAAAAAAAAACUCUAGAGAAAUGUGUUUGUGUGUGGUGGGUGGGCGGGGGCCCUGAGGAUGCAGGGACUGUGUCUGCUGUGUUGUCUGUUAUAAGAUGUUUCAGACCUAUUUUGCAUACUGGCAGCGACAAGUUGAGACUUGUUCAACUUGACACAGUCCUGUGGUCAUAGCGAAUCUUUCUAAAGCUCUGAUCAGUCAAGAAGGGGGUUGUAUCAAUCCUCAGAACCCUGAGUGGAACUUUCUACAGGAUUUAUUAGGAGAAAAACCUUCCCGGAAGCUGCAGAAGGACAAAUACAGAAUCCGUGUCUGGGAGAAACCUCGUGGCCUGGUCUCCAUUAUUUGAGAUGAGUUACAUCUUGGAGGUGAGGACGUGCCUCGUGGUCUAAAGCUUCGGCACAAGGGCCCAACUGGAAUUCCACUUACGGGCCUGAUCUUUUGGCCAGAAGGAGAUUAAAAAGAUGCCCCUCAAGAUGGCUGUGCCUGUCAGCUGCAUGGAGCUUCGUUCAAGUAUUUUCUGAGCCUGAUGGAUUUACAGUGAUCUUCAGUGGUCUGGGGAAUAACGCUGGUGGAACCAUGCACUGGAAUGACACACGCCCGGCACAUUUCAGGAUACUAAAAGUGGUUUUAAGGGAGGCUGUGGCUGAAUGCCUCAUGGAUUCUUACAGCUUGGAUGUCCAUGGGGGACGAAGGACUGCAGCUGGCUGAGAGGGUUGAGAUCUCUGUUUACUUAGAUCUCUGCCAACUUCCUUUGGGUCUCCCUAUGGAAUGUAAGACCCCGACUCUUCCUGGUGAAGCAUCUGAUGCACGUUCCAUCCGGCGCUCAGCUGGGCUUGAGAAUCCUGUUACACCUGGGAUUUAGGCACUUUCAAUCUGAAAAAAUACAUAUCCUUUCAGCACUCUGGACGGACUUGAGAACUGUCCUUACGUGACCUAAAGCUGGAGUAUUUUGAGAUUGGAGAAUUAAGAGUGUGGGCACCCUGGCUUCAAGCUCACGAGAAACCAGGUCGGGAUUUAAACAAUGUUGGGUUAAAGCAAAGUUUCAUAAAGACAGAAUCAAGAAAAAAAGAAAGAGAAA